AUGGCUGACAAGGGCGACGGUCCGGCCAUCCGGAUUGACCUCGGCACCACCUACUCCCGCGUCGGCGUGUGGCAGCACGGCCAAAUUGAGAUCAUUGCAAACGACCAGGGCAACCGCACCACGCCGUCCUACGUCGCCUUCACCGACUACGAGAUACUCAGCGGCGAUGCCGCCAAGAACCAGGUCGCCAUGAACCCUGUCAACACAGUUUUUGAUGCUUAGCGUCUUAUUGGCAGGAGAUUCAGUGAUGGUUCAGUCCUGAUGGACAUGACGUUGUGGCCCUUCAAGGUCAUUGAUGGACCUGGUGAUAAGCCUAAGAUAGCUGUUCAGUACAUGAGCGAGGAGAAGGAGUUUUCUGCUGAAGAUAUCUCCUCCAUUGUCCUCAUCAAGAUGCGUGACAUUGCGGAAGCCUUCCUUGGCAGGACAAUCAGGAAUGCUGUUGUCAGUGUCCCUGCCUACUUCAACGACUCUCAGAGACAGGCCACCAAGGAAGCUGGAGGUUUGGCUGGUCUGAAUGUUAUGCGCAUCAUCAACGAGCCAACUGCUGCUGCUAUUGCAUAUGGUCUUGACAAGAAGGUCAUCAGCGUUGGUGAGAAGAAUGUUCUCAUCUUUGACCUUGGAGGUGGCACCUUUGAUGUCUCCCUUAUCACCCUUGAGGACCUCAUCUUUAAGGUCAAGUCCACUGCUGGUGAUACUCACCUUGGUGGCGAGGACUUCGACAACAGGAUGGUUGAUCACUUUGUUGAAGAAUUCAAGAGGAAGAACAAGAAGGAUAUAAGUGGUAACCCCAGGGCUCUCCGUAGGCUAAGGACAGCUUGUGAGCGGGCAAAGAGGACCCUCUCCUCAACUGCACAGACCACCGUUGAGAUUGAUUCAUUGUGUGAGGGCAUUAACUUCUACACCACCAUCACCCGUGCCAGGUUUGAGGAGUUGAACAUUGACCUCUUCAGGAAGUGCUUGGUACUUGUGGAGAAGUGUCUGAGGGAUGCUAAGGUGGACAAGAGCACUGUACAUGAUGUUGUCCUUGUUGGUGGCUCGACAAGGAUCCCAAAGGUUCAACAGUUGCUUCAGGAUUUCUUCAAUGGCAAGGAGCUGUGCAAGAACAUCAACCCUGAUGAAGCUGUUGCCUAUGGUGCAACUGUCCAGGCUGCCAUCUUGAGUGGCGAGGGCAAUGAGAAGGUCCAGGACCUCUUGCUACUGGAUGUCGCACCUUUUUCUCUCGGUAUGCAGACUGACGAAGGUGUCAUGACAGUGUUAAUUCCGAGAAACGCUACCAUCCCGGCAAAGAAGGAGCAGGUCUUUUUCACCAACAAAGGCCAGACCAAUGACAUCAUCAAGGUGUAUGAGGGUGAGGGCACCAGGGCCGACAACCUGUUGGUAAAGUGUGAGUUCUCUGGCAUCCCUCCUGCUCCCAAGGGUGAGUACAAGAUCACAGCCUGCUUUGACAUUGAUGCCAAUGGCAUCCUGAUUCUCAAUGUCUCAUUUGAGGAAACGACCACUGGGGAGAAGAGUCAGUUCACAAUGAAUAAGACUACACUUGAGCUCUUGAUUUUCAACUUGCGCAACACCAUCAAGGACGACAAGUUUGCCUCCAAGCUGUCUGCGGAUGAGAAGAAGGUGGCCGAGGACGCCAUCGACCAGGCCGUCCAUUGGCUGGACAACAACAAGCAAGCUACGGAUGAUGAGUACAGGAAGAAGAAGGAUGAGCUGGAAAUUGUGAGCUGCCCCAUCAUCAUUAAGUGUAUGUUCGAUUGA
Molecule: ribosomal RNA, 1755 nt
Filed under: Triticum aestivum (bread wheat)
Lineage: Eukaryota; Viridiplantae; Streptophyta; Magnoliopsida; Poales; Poaceae
Description: partial small subunit ribosomal RNA
Source: RNAcentral